Gasterosteus aculeatus aculeatus (three-spined stickleback) is the source of this 1220-nucleotide long non-coding RNA. Lineage: Eukaryota; Metazoa; Chordata; Actinopteri; Perciformes; Gasterosteidae. The record is from Ensembl.
UGAGAGAGUUUGUCCUGACUUGUUGGCUCCGUAGGCGAACUGCAGGGGGUCGGUGAGGGUUUCAGGUGGGACAGGACUAGCCGUUCAAAAGACUUCAGAGGACAGUGCAACGGGCCUGUAGUCAUUAAGUCCUGUGAUCCUGGGCAUCAACAGGGAUGAUGAUGGAGGCCUUGAAGCAGGCUGAUACGUGGUAUGUCUCCAAGGAGGUGUUGAAGAUGACGGUGAACACCGGAGGUGCAGCUGUUUGUGUACAAUAGUCUAGCCUUGCCAUGAGUCCCUUUACACACUCCUGUAUGGGAAGUGGCGGUAUACGCUAUUAUUGCUGUAACCCGCCAAAAAGAAGAACGUUAAAGGAGCAAAAUGGGUGCUCCCUUAGAGCGCCAAUGUGGAGAAGUAAAUCCUGCACAAGACCCAAAGGAGGAUUGAAUGGAGCAAGACGGCUGCCUGCAAUGAGAUGGCAUCGUCAUCCUGAGACUCAACUUCCUUGGCAGCAGACUGUGUAGAGCACCCAGAAAGAUGUCGCCGUUCCGAGGCCCCACGCCGACUCAUCCGCUCUCCUCAUCUGCUCUCCUCAUCUCCUCAUUUGGGGGCAACUGAGAAAAAUCCAAGUGCUUAGAAAAAGGCGCAAUGUCAGUGUGGUGACGUUUGGUUAUGAAAUACAAAAUGCAGCCUGAAGCUAGUGUGGGGCUGGUGAAUUGGACUGGAACAGAGAAGAAACAGUCUGUGAAGACAACCUUCAAAUACAAUCUUUUGCUUCUAUUUCUUUUAUCUCUCUCUUUGGGGCAGCAAGUUUAUGUUCUCCUAACAUACUUUCUUCCAAGCUCUUUGUUGUUCUCUGUUGCUCUUUCAAGUAUUUUUUCAUCUAGAUAAAGCUGGCAAAAUAUAACGGUCUGAAUAUUAAAAACCUGCUUUGAGCUUCAGGACAUAUUUCUGAUCAUAACUACAGGCCUUGAUGGAGCUUGACAUGUGAAAAAUGUUUGCCUCGGGUAAUGCAUUUUGAAAUUAAAGGUAGAAAGCAAUUCUUGACGUUUCAUUAUCCGGGGAAUGUAUGAAACUGCAUAUUUGACAUAAGAGAAGUAAAACCGGCUGACUUCAAACCAAUCAUUUUCACAGCUUGGGGCACUGAAAACAUAAAGGAAGAGGUUUUGUUUUAAAUUACAACUUUUUUCAAAGGGGUAUACCGCCUCACAUUAGAAUCUAUAAUGUUUGAGAGCUCUCUG